This 8646-nucleotide long non-coding RNA is filed under the name Homo sapiens (human). Its description in RNAcentral is "HSALNT0395414". The record is from RNAcentral. Lineage: Eukaryota; Metazoa; Chordata; Mammalia; Primates; Hominidae.
GAAACAGUGGAAGAGCGUCGUUAGUGCGCAGAACCACCUGCUUGACUCACGCCUUCCAGGAGUGAGCUAUGGGUCACUUCUGAAAGACCCAGGUCCAUAAGCCCCAUCCAUGCCACCCCAGCCACCUGGUCUACCAGCAUUUCGGGCGCCUUUUCCUGACACCCGAAUCCUGAAGAAGCUGCCUGGGUCCCACACGUGUCCACUGGUGCCUGAGGUUAGACGUUCAUGUUGUCUUCUGUUUGACCUGCCGUCUUGUUGGCUCUACUAAGCCAGGAGUGAUGUAUACAAGCAAACAUUUCAGUGAACCAGGGGGAAAGGCUCUUGGCAAUAAAAACAUUUUCCCUUAUUUCUUGUCAACAAAUACUUCUAUAUUUACUGUUUGGUUUUUUCAGAUCAAAAGAUACAGAACGUAACAGUUCUUCAGUAAGGAUGGCACAUCUCAACUGAAGUAAAAAGUUAUCCCUUAAACCCUCGCUGGAGAACAUGUCACAUACAUAACCCCAUGGAAUGGGUCCUUGCGCCAGGCCCUUCACUCUGCGAAGUUGAAGGCAGGUGACGAGGGGGCAGGAGGCAGGGGACGAGGGGGCAGGAGGCAGGGGACGAGGGGGCAGGAGGCAGGGGACGAGGGGGCAGGAGGCAGGGGAGCUCUGGCCCACGGGGUUGCUUGUCCCACUGCAUCCCUGAAGAUUAAUUUAGAGUCCAAGAAGAGAGGCUGAGUCAUUAACAAUCGCCCUGACUUGUUGGUGCUAAAGAGCUGUCGAAAGUGACACGUGUUGAGAGGCCCUGUCUUUAUGUGAGGCCUUUGUUUGACACCUUCGCAUCUAUUUUCUCAGUUACACAGAGCAGACGUCGUUUCCAUUUACAGACGAGGAGACUCGAGAAGUUCCGUGAUUUCCUCAGGUUCUUGCUGGAGGCUGGUGGUGCUAAGAAGUGUAGUCUGCUGAUCAGAGCCCAAAGUCCUGCCCUGAUUUAGGGCUUCCCCACCCACGGGGGAGAUUCUCCUAAGGACAGGAAGUGGUUUAAAGAGCCACAGAGGAAAGACAAACCCUCACGGAAGCUCAGGGGACACAGAAGACAGCAGGGAAGAUGGAGGAUGGUGACAGGCUGUGCUCAGGGCCUGUCUGAACCUGCACCUGCCUGAGUCUGCUGAAGACCUUUAGACACAGGCAUGAGCCAUCACAGAACAGAGGCACGGACGCUGGAAAUGCGGCUAUAUUCCUGCAGGAGGCCACCAGUGGCAGAUUUAUGAAUUAUAAUUCUAGUUGUAGUUUAAUUAUAAAAGACAAGUGUGGUGACAUAUGUUAAGUGUUUUCCUAGGCUGCAAGAGUCAGUGUGUGAAGAUGCUGACGGAGCUUGAGCCCUCACACGUGAAUAUGAAAAGGAAGAUUCAAAUUCACUGUGACGAAGAAGCACUACUGUUUUUUUUUUUUUUUUUUUUUUUUUUUUUUUAAGACGGAGUCUUGCUCUUUCACCAGGCUGGAGUGCAAUGGCACGAUCUUGGCUCAUUGCAACUUCUGCCUCCCAGGUUCAAGCAAUUCUCCUGCCUCAGCCUCCCAAGUAGCUGGGACUAUAGGCGCCUGCCACCAUGCCCAGAUAAUUUUUGCAUUUUCAGUAGAGAGGGGGUUUCACCAUGUUGGCCAGGAUGGUCUUGAUCUCUUGACCUCAUGAUCCGCCCACCUCGGCCUCCCAAAGUGCUGGGAUUACAGGUGUGAGCCACCGCACCCAGCCAAGCACCACUGAUUUUUAAAAAGCAGAAAACUUUGAAGUUAAACCAUUUAUAUACUCCAAAUAAGUUCUCUUGGUACGUAUUUCCCAAGGACAUUUCUCUCCCUGGGUAAUGGUAGGUGUUUGGUCUUUGGUCACGAAAUUCAUCUGUAAUUAAGUAUGUGGCUCAUUUUAUUCAAAAACUGUAAAAGGAAAUUUAAUUAUUUUGACAUAAGAAAGAAAAGGCUUAUUCUGUGGCCUGAUUUGCUGAAAUGUAUUCAGUUUUAUUCAUGUAGGUCAAUGAUUGGUGUCUAUGUGGAAGACGAAGUGGUGUCUGUGCUGCCUCUCUUUAGGAGCUGCCAACAGGGAGCACCUCAGACCUGCACCUGUGGGGUGUUCCAUAUUGAAGCAGAUGAUAUUAUAGAUUAAUAAAAGCAAACACAACAGAAUGGGUACAAAAAACAUCAACAAAAUAGAUAAUUUGAGAAAAAUAUCCGUACACCUCCUAUUAAUGGCUCCCAGACUGUAGCUCUGAGAACAAAAUCCUGUUAUAUUUGAUGGUACAGACACGUUACUCAUAGAAGCAAUUCAUUCACUAUGGGUUUCAUGUUAUGGAAGAAGCCACUCUUCCUGGGCCAGGUACCUCUUCAUUUGGUUUAGGAAGAGAUGAAGAUGUCUGUCACUCUGACUGAUGUCCCCGUAUGUGUGGAAUGCCUGGAGUGGAGUCCUGCCUAGCACACGCCUUUCUUCUGCGUUCUUGGGCUCAGGACUUAAUCUCUGUGCCUCAGUUCCCUCCUCUGUGAAAUAGAAGUAAUAGUGGCAUGUGGCUCACGUGCAUGAAAUAAAAUGAGCCAUGAAAUAAAAUAUGCACAAUGCCAGCAGCAUAGUAAAUAUUCACUGAAUGCUACUGUUAUAUUUACCAUUAAAUAUUACGGAUUCAGAAAGUAUAUUUCUAUCAUACCAAAAAUUGUAAAAAAUAAAAUCAAGCAAAUUUUUAAAAUUUAUUUUCAUUUUUUUGAGAUGGAGUCUUGCUCUGUUGCCCAGGCUAGAGUGCAGUGGCACGAUCUCAGCUCACUGCAACCUCCGCCUCCCAGGUUCAAGCGAUUCUCCUGCCUCAGCCUCCCGAGUAGCUGGGAUUACAAGUGUGCACCACCACACCCUGCUAAUUUUUGUACUUUUAGUAGAGAUGGGCUUUUGCCAUGUUGGCCAGGAUGGUCUUGAACUCCUGACCUCAGGUGAUCUGUCUGCUUCGGCCUCCCAAAGUGCUGGGAUUACAAGCGUGAGCCACUGCGCCCGGCCAAAUCAAGCAAAUUUUAAGGAAAGAUUAACCAACCUCAAAGUCAUAUGUGUACAGUUAUUCGUACGGAAGCACUCAGUGCUGUGGGGCACAGAGCACGCUGAUGCGCGUGUGGCGUGAAAGAUGGUCCCUCUGCAAGGAUCGGCACCGUGGCAUGGGACCAGCCACUCCAAAAUGCCAGGACUCCUGUCCUGAGUCUGUAACCACUUUUAUCUCUAUUAUAAUUUAUUCUCCCAGCCUACCUCCUCAGUAUACGUUCUCUGAUUUUUUUUUUUUUUUUUUUUUUGAGACGGACUCUUGCUCUGUCGCCCAGGCUGGAGUGCAGUGGUGCGACCUUGGCUCACUGCAGGCUUCGCCUCCCGGGUUCACGCCAUUCUCCUACCUCAGCCUCCCGAGUAGCUGGGACUACAGGCGCCCGCCACCACACCCAGCUAAUUUUUUUGUAUUUUAGUAGAGACGGGGUUUCACCGUGUGAGCCAGGCUGGUCUCGAUCUCCUGACUCGUGACCCGCCCGCCUCGGCCUCCCAAAGUGCUGGGAUUACAGGCGUGAGCCACCACGCCCGGCUCAUUUUUUUUGUAUUUUUAGUAGAGACGGGGUUUUACGGUGUUGGCCAGGAUGGUCUCGAUCUCCUGACCUCGUGACCCGCCCGCCUCGGCCUCCCAAUCUGAUUCUUACUAGAACAACAACAACAACAAAUUUCGCCUGUUCCCAUAAUUGUAAUUAUUUGAGAGAAGUUUGGGAGUGUGGAGUAGAAAGAUCCUAUAGGCAGAUGCAAGAGGAGAAAAAGUGCAGUCAAAGCAUAUCAAGAACAAACCCUCCAAACAGAGAGGGAAGGACGGUGCUCACGGUGGCGCCGGGGAGAGAAGCCCCAAUUAACUGGGGCUCUGCACGCGUCUCUGGCCUUGGCAGGAAGGGAAGCUGGGGAGGAAGUGUGGGCUUCCUGCCGUUCAGUGCCUGGCCUGCUCUGCUGAGGGUAGAGACGUGCCAACGACGAGGGUGCCAACGACGGAGUAUGCUGGUGGUAGGGUCCUACAGCAAAGGGGUGGGCAGGUGACGUUCCCGACAGCUCUUCUGCUUGCCACACUCACUCCACUGUCACUUUUAUUUCUUCUAUUAAUGGUCUGAAAUUACGGUGACUGAUUUCUUCAGGGUCUCAUUCCUUCAUUCUUACAUGGAUAAGCUCAAUUUCAUUAAAUACAUCUCUUAGAAUAUAAAAUGAACUUCAAAUAUUACUGGACAGAAAGUUCAAAUAUUACAGGACAGGUUAAAUGAGAGCCACCAAGCAGAGAGUGUGCACCUAAAGGUGGACUUGCUGCCACAGAGUGCUCGCAACUGGGCCAGGGCCAGGCGCAGACAUGGGCUGGUUUUGAACUCCACACUUUGAAGGAUAAGACUGCAGCUUUGCAAACACAGUCCUGUUUUUGUAGAGACAGGGUCCUGAUCUGUUGCCGAGGGAUGGGGUGCAGUGGUGCGAUCACAGCUCACCGCAGCCUCGACCUUCCAGGCUCAAGUGAUUCUCCAGCCCGGGCAGCUGGGACCACAGGCACCUGGCGCCAUGCCCAAUUCUGUUCAUCUAUCCUAGGAAAAUUGAAGACUUUCUUGGCUCUGACUCCGUUUUCUAAUCAUUUUGCCUUGAAAUCACUUUAGACUUGCAGGGAAGCUGCAGAAGCAGCGCAGACAGCCCCAUGGCGCCCUCCAGCUCACCCGGGGCCACGGCGCCGUCCAGCUCACCCGGGGCCAUGGCGCCCUCCAGCCCACCCAGGGCGACACUCCAUGGAGACACAGACACGCACCGUGGCAGAGAAAUGGUGUGGAGGUCCUGGUUUUUCUCAAAUGUGCUUUUCCUGCCCAGGGCCCCACACAGGACCCCACGCUGCUCUGGCCGUGAUGUCUCCUGGGCUCUGUGAUCUGGCCAGCGCCUCUGUCUCCCCGUCCUUAAUGACCUGGCUGCUCCUCAAAGCUCCGGACAUGUCUUUUUGGAAUGCCCUUGAUUUCGACUUGUCUGAUGUCUUCUACUGAUGACACUACUGGGGAGGAUUUGUUGAGGAGACACGUGUCCCCUGCAGGGCUCCACAGCAGGAGGUGUGGUGGCCUCUCUCAUCCCUGGUGAUGGGAACUGUGACCCUGGAGUUCCACUUCCCUUGGAAGACCUCGUGACAGUGGCUGCUGCCUUGGUGCCCCAGCGGGGCCUCCAACUGCCCUGGUUCCUUCACCAUUUAUAACUGGAAUCCUCUGGUUGAGGAGGCGCUUUCUCUGCGUACACAUGGUGGAGGUGAAGAUAUCUGUGUGCUCUCUGGUUGAGGAGGCACUUUCUCUGCGUACACACAGUGCAGGUGAAGAUAUGUGUGCUCUCUGGUUGAGGAGGCACUUUCUCUGCGUACACACGGUGGAGGUGAAGAUAUGUGUGCUCUCUGGUUGAGGAGGCACUUUCUCUGCGUACACACAGUGCAGGUGAAGAUAUGUGUGCUCUCUGGUUGAGGAGGCACUUUCUCUGCGUACACACGGUGGAGGUGAAGAUAUGUGUGCUCUCUGGUUGAGGAGGCACUUUCUCUGCGUACACACGGUGGAGGUGAAGAUAUGUGUGCUCUCUGGUUGAGGAGGCACUUUCUCUGCAUACACACGGUGGAGGUGAAGAUAUGUGUGCUCUCUGGUUGAGGAGGCACUUUCUCUGCGUACACACGGUGGAGGUGAAGGUAUCUGUGUGCUCUCUGGUUAUCAUCUAGUCAUGCUGCUGUCUAGGUUGCUGUGCAGGGUGUUCAGUGCUAGCCCGUGGGAGGCUCAGCCUCUGACGCCGUCAGACCUGCCUCCCGCACCAGCCUCACUGAUUCUUGUUCAGCAGUUCCUUACUUUUUUGCUCCACAAGAAGUUUCAGGCUCAUCUUGUAUUUCCCUUGCCUCAGCCCUGGAAUUAACCCCUUCUCUAGGGCUCUGCGUGGUGGGGGACGGCACAGGGUCUCGUCCGCAUAAUCUGCAACACUGAGCUUGCUCACUACCGCCUGGUUCCUGAUUCUAGCCACUCGGUGUAUGGCCUAGGACUGUGUGUGUUUACUAAGUCAUGCUCACACAUGUCCGUGUUUAUUUCUUCAUCUAUUUAUUUAUCUCACAGAAACCACAAGCCCAAACUGAUCUGGGCUUCAAUCCAGCCCUUCAUUUCUAACUUCAUCGCUAACAGGGAGAAAUCUGCUUCUCAUUAGCUACCAUGCAUGGGCUUAUUGAUUCCUGUAAGAAGCAAAUGCCAAACGCAGCCCACGGUUUGCAGUUCUUUUUGUCUUCAGCCUUACAGUGAACCACAGUCAAACGCCUUUCCCAAGGCCACUGAAAAGAGCUCCUUUCUUCCCAGCCCACAGUGUGGUUCUGCGGUUCAUGGGCCGCUGUCUGCAUUCCUCCUCCCUUAGCUCCAUGCUGGUGCCGUCCAGCGGGCUCUGAGAGAGGCACGGUCAGGUGUCCGCCACCACCGCGCCAGACAGAGCAGCUUCCACACCCACACCCCCUCGGGAUGCCUCUCCGGUCACCCUCUACACUCAAACCUUUAGCGACCACGGACGGGUCUCUUCCCUACAGUUCUGCACCUCCCAGGUGUCCGGUAAAAAGAAUCAAUACCAGCUUUCAAGUCUGGCUUCUGCUGCACAGCAAAAUGCACAAUGUAUGAUCCAUCAUGUCAUGUGAGUCAGCAGUAACCCCUCACUGCUAAGCACAAUCCCACUGCCUGGUGGCAUGACACACAGGCUGGCCAUGUCCACUAGGAUGUCCUUCCAUCACACACAGGCUGUCCCUGUCCACGGAGAUGUCCUUCCAUCACACACAGGCUGUCCCCGUCCACGGAGAUGUCCUUCCAUCCACGCACAAGCUGUCCCCGUCCACGGAGAUGUCCUUCCAUCACACACGGGCUGUCCCCGUCCACGGAGUUGUCCUCCAUCCACGCAUGGACUGUCCCUGUCCACGGAGAUGUCCUUCCAUCACGCAUGGGCUGUCCCCGUCCACAGAGAUGUCCUUCCAUCACGCGGGAGCUGUCCCCGUCCACGGAGAUGUCCUUCCAUCCACGCAUGGGCUGUCCCUGUCCACGGAGACAUCCUUCUGCCCACUGGCUGAAGGGCACAAGGUUGUUUCCAGCUUCUGGCAGUUAUGACAGUGCUGCUGUGAACAUUCAUAUAUAGGAUUUAGUAUGAAUCUAAGUUUUCAUUUCUCUUGGAGAAAUACCUAGGAACAGGACUACUGGGUCAUGGGGUAAAUACAUGUUUACCUUUGUAAGAAAUGCCCAAACUGUCUUCCGAAGAGGCUGUAUCAUUCUCCCUUCACCCUAGCAGUGAAGGGGAGUCUCUGCUGCUCUGGACCCUCCCCAGCCUUUCACGUUGCUGGUAUUUCGGCUGUUCUAGCACGGGUGGGUACACGGCAUCUCACGGUGGCUUCAACUUGCAGUUCCCUGAUGAAAAUGGCACUGAGCAUCUUCACAGGCUUCCUUGCCAUCUGUGGAUUAUCUCUGGGGUGGUGUCUGUUAAUAUCUUCUGUCUACUUUAAAAACUGGGUUGUUCUCUUGUUGAAUUUUGGGGGUUUCUUAUAUACUAUAGAAACAACUCCUUUAUCAAAAGUGUGACAUGCAAAUAUUUCCUUCUAGGCUGUGGCUUGUUUUUUCAUUAACAGUAUCAUUCAGAGAGAAAAACUUUUUUUUUUUGAGACAAGGUCUCGCUCUGUCACCCAGGCUGGAGUGCAGUGGCUCAAUCACAGCUCACUGCAGCCUCCAACUCCUCAGCUCAAGCAAUCCUUCCACCUUAGCCCCCUGAGCAGCUGGGACUACAGGCACACAGCAACCACCAUGCUCAGCUCAUUUUUUUCUAUGUUUUGUAGAGACACGGUCUCACUAUAUUGCCCAGACUGGUAUUGAGCUUCUGGGCUCAAGUUAUCCUCCUGCUUCAGCCUCCCAAAGUGAUGGUAUUACAGGCAUGAUAAGCCACUGCACCUGGCCAAAACUUUUAAAUUAUGGUAAAGUCUAAUUUAUUAUUUUUUUCCUUUAAGGAUCAUGAUUUUGAUCUCAUGAUUAAAAACUCUUUGCUUAACCCAAGGUCAUGCAUAUUUUGUGUGUAUUUUCUUCUGAAAGGUUUAUAGCUUUACAUAUAGGUCAAGGGUCCACUUUGGGUGGAUUUUCACAUGAAGUGUGAGGUGGAGGUUGUGGGUCUGUUGCUCAUGGGCGGCGAAUUGUCCCAACAGCUGCAGACACAACUCUUCUCCUUCUGAUUUCCUCUCAUGUUUGCCAAAGAUCAUCUGACACAUGUGAUGUAUUUCUGGGCUCUCUUUUCUGUUCCACCGAUCUUUUUGUCUAUCCUUUUGACAAUAACACAUUGUCUAACUGAUUACUGUUUUACAGUAAGUCUUGGAAUCAGGUAGUGUGUUUUCCAACUCUGUUAUUUUCUUUUUUUUCUUUUCUUUUUUUUUUUUUUUGAGACGGAGUUUCGCUCUGUCGCCCAGGCUGGAGUGCAGUGGCGCGAUCUCGACUCACUGCAAGCUCCGCCUCCCGGGUUCACGCCAUUCUCCUGCCUCAGCCUCCCGUGUAGCUGGGACUACAGGUGCGCGCCACCAUGCACAGCUAAUUUUUGUAUUUUUAGUAGAGACGGUGUUUCACCGUGUUAGCCAGGAUGGUCUCGAUCUCCUGA